UACGGAGGAUGCGAGCGUUAUCCGGAUUUAUCGGGUUUAAAGGGUGCGUAGGCGGGCUUUUAAGUCAGCGGUAAAAAUUCGGGGCUCAACCCCGUCCGGCCGUUGAAACUGGGGGCCUUGAGUGUGCGAGAGGUAUGCGGAAUGCGUGGUGUAGCGGUGAAAUGCAUAGAUAUCACGCAGAACCCCGAUUGCGAAGGCAGCAUACCGGUGCACAACUGACGCUCAGGCACGAAAGCGUGGGUAUCGAACAGG
RNAcentral lists this ribosomal RNA (252 nucleotides) under uncultured bacterium. RNAcentral describes it as "partial 16S ribosomal RNA". It matches the Rfam family "Bacterial small subunit ribosomal RNA", at positions 524 to 776 of the family's 1533-position model. The record is from RNAcentral.